AGCCCCUAGCGCAGACGGCGGAGAGCAGAGAGGGAGCGCGCCUUGGCUCGCUGGCCUUGGCGGCGGCUCCUCAGGAGAGCUGGGGCGCCCACGAGAGGAUCCCUCACCCGGGUCUCUCCUCAGGGAUGACAUCAUCCGUCCACCUCCUUGUCUUCAAGGACCACCUCCUCUCCAUGCUGAGCUGCUGCCAAGGGGCCUGCUGCCCAUCUACACCUCACGAGGGCACUAGGAGCACGGUUUCCUGGAUCCCACCAACAUACAAAGCAGCCACUCACUGACCCCCAGGACCAGGAUGGCAAAGGAUGAAGAGGACCGGAACUGACCAGCCAGCUGUCCCUCUUACCUAAAGACUUAAACCAAUGCCCUAGUGAGGGGGCAUUGGGCAUUAAGCCCUGACCUUUGCUAUGCUCAUACUUUGACUCUAUGAGUACUUUCCUAUAAGUCUUUGCUUGUGUUCACCUGCUAGCAAACUGGAGUGUUUCCCUCCCCAAGGGGGUGUCAGUCUUUGUCGACUGACUCUGUCAUCACCCUUAUGAUGUCCUGAAUGGAAGGAUCCCUUUGGGAAAUUCUCAGGAGGGGGACCUGGGCCAAGGGCUUGGCCAGCAUCCUGCUGGCAACUCCAAGGCCCUGGGUGGGCUUCUGGAAUGAGCAUGCUACUGAAUCACCAAAGGCACGCCCGACCUCUCUGAAGAUCUUCCUAUCCUUUUCUGGGGGAAUGGGGUCGAUGAGAGCAACCUCCUAGGGUUGUUGUGAGAAUUAAAUGAGAUAAAAGAGGCCUCAGGCAGGAUCUGGCAUAGAGGAGGUGAUCAGCAAAUGUUUGUUGAAAAGGUUUGACAGGUCAGUCCCUUCCCACCCCUCUUGCUUGUCUUACUUGUCUUAUUUAUUCUCCAACAGCACUCCAGGCAGCCCUUGUCCACGGGCUCUCCUUGCAUCAGGUAGGGGCUUUGCAGAGACCAUCGACGGGCUGACUUGACCAAGCUUCUUGAAAGGCCUGUCUACACUUGCUGUCUUCCUUCCUCACCUCCAAUUUCCUCUUCAACCCACUGCUUCCUGACUCGCUCUACUCCGUGGAAGCACGCUCACAAAGGCACGUGGGCCGUGGCCCGGCUGGGUCGGCUGAAGAACUGCGGAUGGAAGCUGCGGAAGAGGCCCUGAUGGGGCCCACCAUCCCGGACCCAAGUCUUCUUCCUGGCGGGCCUCUCGUCUCCUUCCUGGUUUGGGCGGAAGCCAUCACCUGGAUGCCUACGUGGGAAGGGACCUCGAAUGUGGGACCCCAGCCCCUCUCCAGCUCGAAAUCCCUCCACAGCCACGGGGACACCCUGCACCUAUUCCCACGGGACAGGCUGGACCCAGAGACUCUGGACCCGGGGCCUCCCCUUGAGUAGAGACCCGCCCUCUGACUGAUGGACGCCGCUGACCUGGGGUCAGACCCGUGGGCUGGACCCCUGCCCACCCCGCAGGAACCCUGAGGCCUAGGGGAGCUGUUGAGCCUUCAGUGUCUGCAUGUGGGAAGUGGGCUCCUUCACCUACCUCACAGGGCUGUUGUGAGGGGCGCUGUGAUGCGGUUCCAAAGCACAGGGCUUGGCGCACCCCACUGUGCUCUCAAUAAAUGUGUUUCCUGUCUUAACAAAAAAAAAAAAAAAAAAAAAAAAA
This 1653-nucleotide long non-coding RNA is filed under the name Homo sapiens (human). RNAcentral's name for it is "maternally expressed 3, transcript variant 8 (MEG3)". The stretch from base 536 to 640 matches the Rfam family "Maternally expressed 3 conserved region 2". The record is from RNAcentral. Lineage: Eukaryota; Metazoa; Chordata; Mammalia; Primates; Hominidae.